This 326-nucleotide small nuclear RNA is filed under the name Erinaceus europaeus (western European hedgehog). RNAcentral's name for it is "7SK RNA (ENSEEUG00000019868.1)". It matches the Rfam family "7SK RNA". Rfam says of the family: 7SK was discovered as an abundant small nuclear RNA in the mid-70s but a possible function has only recently been suggested. Two independent studies have found that 7SK RNA binds the CDK9/cyclin T complex (known as elongation factor P-TEFb). The record is from RNAcentral. Lineage: Eukaryota; Metazoa; Chordata; Mammalia; Eulipotyphla; Erinaceidae.
GGAUGUGAGUGCAAUCUGACUGCAACAUCUGGGUUACCCCAUUGAUCACUAGGAUUGAUUUGGCUGAUCUGGGCUGGGCUAGGUGGGGUGUCCCCUUCCUCACCGCGCCACAUGUGUCACUCCCCUAAAUUGCACCUUCAGUCAAAGAAGGAUGGCCUUCCUCAAAUAGAGAUGGACCAGUCUUCAGUCCGGGAGUAUAUGGAGUAGCUGUGCUCCCCCGGCUAGAAGCUCCAAACAGUUUUCUCAAAGAGGAGUGGGGUAUGACUUAGCACUACCCAGAUUUGAGAUAAAUGUUUAUACGUUAUAGCCGCCAUUAAAUUUAUUGG